GACGAACGCUGGCGGCGUGCUUAACACAUGCAAGUCGAACGGAAAGGCCCUGCUUUUGUGGGGUGCUCGAGUGGCGAACGGGUGAGUAACACGUGAGUAACCUGCCCUUGACUUUGGGAUAACUUCAGGAAACUGGGGCUAAUACCGGAUAGGAGCUCCUGCUGCAUGGUGGGGGUUGGAAAGUUUCGGCUGUUGGGGAUGGACGCGCGGCUUAACAGCUUGUUGGUGGGGUAGUGGCAUACCAAGGCUUUGGCGGGUAGCCGGCCUGGGAGGGUGAACGGCCACCAGGCGCCUGAGGUACGGCGCAGUGUCGAAUAGGGGACAAUAGGCGGAAACCUUGCCCAGUCAUCCCGAGUCUGUGGAGAAGGCCCCCGGGUCGUAAAGCCCUCUUUCGGGGUAUGAACCGCAUUAGGUUAUGACCAAGCGGUUUUGACGGUAAUAAGAGAAGAAGCACCGGCUAACUACGUG
Molecule: ribosomal RNA, 468 nt
Filed under: uncultured bacterium
Lineage: Bacteria
Description: partial 16S ribosomal RNA
Rfam family: Bacterial small subunit ribosomal RNA
Source: RNAcentral